CUGUCAUUAUGAAUAGUGUUCCCUUUAUUUCUAUUAACAAUUACUUACUUAUUUUCUGAAUAGGUUUGGAUCCUUUUUACAUUAGCGGCUGAGAGAAAUACUACUAAUCACAGACUUUUCCAUAUGAUGAAGGAUAAGCCUCUUACAAGUCUAUGUGGAAUUAUUAACACCACGUGUGACUGCACAGGAGGACAGAGAGAACAUGGGGGGAAGGGCAGAGGGAGAGAAUCCUCAAGCAGAAUCGCCAUUCAAUGCAGAGCCAGACACACGGCUGGAUCUCACCACCCAUGAGAUCACAGCCCAUGAGACUACAACCUGAACCGAGGCCAAGAGUCAGACACUUAACUGACUGAGGCACCCAGGAGCCCUGGGACUCUGUUUCUUCAUCUAACCACAUAUAUUUGUGUACUUUCAUAUUUAUAUGUCCUACUUAAACUAUAAAAAUUUUAAAAGCAUUUGUUUCUUUUAUUUAAAUGUUUGGCUUCUAAAAUAUUGGUAAGGGCUUCCUUCUAGUUUGGGACGGCAGACUGAAUAUAUUCAUUUACCUUUAGUCUUUAAGGAGGUUUUCCUGAAAAGACACAAAAAGUGUUUUUAAAGGAAUGGAACCAUAAGAGGGCUGGUAAACUAGAAGGAGGACUACCAAAGGACCAGAAAAGCUAAAGUAACUAACAAUGAUAUAAAAUAGAAAAACAACAAAAGAAAUUAAUACAAACACCAAAAAGAACAGCCCUUUCUAAAGAAAGGCUCAGUGUCAGCCACUACAAAGAGAAAGAAUCAAUGGUGAUGACAAUUAAAUAGAUAGCAGCUUUUGACACAACUCAGUCAUUUAGACAGCUUUUCCUCUUUCCCAGGCUCUUCAUAGAUAGAGUCUAUAAAGCCAGGUUUUUAGCCCUCAUGGAUUAAACUUGAUUUUGUUCCCCCAAAUGGGAAAGGAGUCAACAGAUUGUUGGAGCCUGCAAGAGAAGCAGAGCAAAACCAAAGAUAGCAAUGAACCAUCACACUGGUCCCUAAGGAAAUUAAUAGAAAGAGAAGGCAGCUCCAUCCAGUGGUGAAAUACACUAAAACACUCCACCCUGAGAUAAAGCUCCCUUUAAUUUAGGAAUGAUAAAAGUUCCAAGUCUUGAGGAUAUUGUAGAGUCUAGAACUAGCCUUCUCAUUUAAGAGUCAGGAAAAGAGAACUGUACAACCAUACAGCUUCAGAAGAAACACACACCAAAUGCCUACAAUAAUCAACUAAAUCUUGAUUCAAAAAUAUGAACAAAAAACAAAGAUUCCAGUCACUUAAGGAAAACUACUAACAGAAAAAAAAAUCCCAUCAGAGAAAACAGAGAUAAUUUAAGAAAAAGAAUAAACUUUAAAAUACAUACAUUAGAAUUUCUGUUGGUGAAUUGGUAGACAAUGUGAAUACGAAGCUAAAGUAACUAACAAUAAUAUAAAAUAGAAAAACAACAAAAGAAAUUAAUACAAAUUUGAACUUGGAGGAAAAGAGAGGAAAAUUCCUAAGAAACAAAAAUGGGAAUUGAAAAGCAAAGACAUUAAAUACGGUGUUGUAGAUCUAGGGGCUUAUAACACAAGUAAAUUCAAACAAGGCAUUUGGGUCCUAAUUCCCAUGGUGGAAUAGAAGAAAAGACAUUUGGUACAUAAGUGUGUAGUAAUUGAAACUCAGAGAUUUAUAUAAAACCAGUCUGUUUUCUCAGUCAAAGAGAGAUUAGAAAAAUAUUGUUCAAUAAUUCAUGUAUAUGACAAGGAAAUUUAUCUUUGCCCAGAACUUAAGGUUAGCAAAGAAAACAUAUCAGAGCCAUAUGGGAAUUCAGAGUCGGAAUUUUUAAUCUAUUUGAUAAAAGACUCUCCGUGCCAAAAAAAUAAACUGUUCCCAGUCUGGUUUCACUACAUCUAAUAUCUGGCAGAAACAAACCUAUAACUAUUCUGUGUCACCCCUCCCACAACAGGACCCAAGAACUGUCACAGAAAAACCACAAUCCAUUGAAGAUGAACUCAUGAUCAAAAAUUACAGAACACAUGUAAAAAUGAUCAAGCAUAAGUAAGAGUCAGAAGAUACAACAAACAAAAAAAUCUGUAUCUCGACCACUUAAGAUGAUAAAAUGCUCAUAAAUAGAUAAGAUAAUUAUACUUAAAAUAAUUUAAAUGAAAUAAGAAGGGAGAAACUACAAAAGAUAUAGAAAGCACUAUAAAAAGAAAUAAACAUAUUUAAAGUGAACCAAAUAUAGCAGGUAGAAAAGGAAGAAAAAGUCACUGAAAUAUAAACCAAAAUGGAUAGACUAACCACACUAGACACUGUUAAAAAGAUAAUUAGUAAACUAAAUGACUAAAACAUCAGAUUAUAGCACAAGGGUUUACAAGAUUGGAGAAGAGUAAAGAGAAAUUAUAAGACAUGGAAGGUAAAAUGUGAAGAUCCAGCACAUAUCCGAGAAGAGUUUCAAGAAGAGAAUACAGUGAAAAUGAGGAGAGGCAAUGAGAUCAUGGUUGAGAAUUUUUCAAAACUGAUGAAGAUAUGAAUUCUAAAAUGAGAGGUACCCUUAAAGAAAAAUAAAAAGAAACUCACAUCUUGGCCUAUUGUUGAUAAACUCAGGACAUCAAAGGGAAGAAAAACCUUAAAAUUAACCAAAAGGGACGGACAAAUUAUCUCUAAAAAUAGAUGAACUGUAAGGAAAGGCCACAAACGAUCUCUUCAAAAUGGCAAAUUGUUUUUCAAGGGAAAGAAAAACACACAUUUUUAGAACUUCAAAGACUGAAUUUAGCAAAAUCUUCCCAGUGAAAGAACUGCUCAACAACAUACUUUGAGAAGGAAAUUAACUCCAAAGAACUGAGUAUUGGCAAGAAACAACAGGAAGCAAAGAAAUUAGUGAACAGGUGAGUAAUUAAAAAAUAACUGGAAAUAAAUUCUGAUAAGAAGAACAUUUAAGUUUAAAUUGGUUAUUCAGAGUUUAAUUGUUGUAAGGUCCUAAUUCUCUUUGGACAAAAGAUAUAGGCAUUAAUUAACUUUAGACAUUUAUAUCAA
Long non-coding RNA from Mustela putorius furo (domestic ferret), 3019 nucleotides. NCBI's taxonomy places the organism in Eukaryota, Metazoa, Chordata, Mammalia, Carnivora, Mustelidae. The record is from Ensembl.